Non-coding RNA from Peromyscus maniculatus bairdii (prairie deer mouse), 1483 nucleotides. NCBI's taxonomy places the organism in Eukaryota, Metazoa, Chordata, Mammalia, Rodentia, Cricetidae. The record is from RefSeq and is a predicted model, not a curated record.
AGCCAGGGAGGCUGUGAGGCAGCAGGAAGCCUCCUCAUGUGCUGGUGGAAAUAUGAAAUGGUGUGGCUGCUUUGAAAGACGGCGUGCACACAAACACCGCACAGUCCAGCAAGUGUACUGCUGGCUACUUUCAGGUAAACAGAAAAACUAUGCUACAGACAAUGGAAUAUUACUCAGUGCCAAAAAUGAACAAUCGAGCCAUGGACAGACAUGGAGGAAACCAAAUGCCUAUUACUAAGGAAAAGAAGCUGGUCUGAAAAAGGCUAUAACCUGUCACUCACUGGACAUUUGGGCAAAGAUAACCUCUGGGGACUGAGCUGCUGUGACCCAAUGGGCCUCCCACUCUGGGCCACAUAACUUUGGACACCACUGUCCUUAUCAAGCACACAUUGUUUGCACGGCUUGUCUGCUGUUUUGGAAAUCAACUGAAGGGAGACAACUUUGAGGCUCCCUCUGCGGAAACCUUCCUUGUCUCCUUUGCUCCUGUUACCUGUACUGUGAGGAUCAGGCUUACUUUUGUCCACUUCAAGGCCAAGAAACUUCCUCUGCUGUCUUUCAAUGACUAAAACCCCAUUGUAUACAUGUGCCACGUUUUCAUUGUCUUUUCUUCAGUUGACGGAUGUGUAGGCUGACUUCAUUUCUUGCCACUGUGAAAAGACCGAUCACAGGAUGUGGCAUUCUUCAGGUACAUGCCCGAGAGCGUCAGCAGCUUUUCUUAGAGACUCUCCCCACGGCAUGCUCUGGCACCUUUACCACACAGGUAUCAACAGAAGAUGCCACAUCAAACCCAAAGGUUUUAGUGCCCUUGGACUCACAGAAAGAAGAGGCCACAGCAUCAAGCUUUGGAAAACUGUCCCACAACAAGAAAAAGAUCGCGCACUGAAUGUCGCCUCACUGACCAGCACGGGCAACAGCGCUAGACUUGAGUGCUAGAUUUACAAAGCUCCCGAAAUCUGAAUUCAGCUCCUGCCAUUCACUCCCUAGGGACCUGGAGAGUAACCAGGACCCAAGUCACACCUAUGUGACGAUGCUAACACAAACACUGAUUAUUCUUCAGAUCGGAAGGUGCCUGUUUUGAUGGCAUGCUCCUUAAAAUUUUCCUGAUAAAAAUAAAGCCUCAAGAUAUGUGGUCUCAGGGCACCAGAGCGGGAAAGCUCUGACAUCACAAUGCCACCCCCCCACCCCACCCCCCCGUAAGCACUGUUUUAUCUGAUCUGCUUAUACACUCACAGCAAGCUGGGUGAGAGAGAUAUAAAAUAUUAACCAGCCGUGAAGAAAACUGUAUUUGCACGUCCGUGCGCGAGAAGAUGGAAAAGGGGAAUGGAAACUGAGGGCGGAGCUUUUCAUUCCCACAGUGACACACUCAGCUUUAGACGCUUUGUUCUAAAUUUCGCAGCUCUGUCCUCGGCAUGACCACCAGGAAGAGCGUGUACCCCAAGACAGCCUGGGAGCUGGAGCCCAGGCACGCGCACGCACUCACGUU